UACGGGAGGCAGCAGUGGGGAAUAUUGCACAAUGGGCGCAAGCCUGAUGCAGCCAUGCCGCGUGUAUGAAGAAGGCCUUCGGGUUGUAAAGUACUUUCAGUCGUGAGGAAGGUGUUAAGGUUAAUAACCUUAGCAAUUGACGUUAGCGACAGAAGAAGCACCGGCUAACUCCGUGCCAGCAGCCGCGGUAAUACGGAGGGUGCGAGCGUUAAUCGGAAUUACUGGGCGUAAAGGGCACGCAGGCGGUUAAUUAAGUUGGAUGUGAAAUCCCCGGGCUUAACCUGGGAAUGGCAUUCAAGCUGGUUAGCUAGAGUCUUGUAGAGAGGGGUAGAAUUCCAUGUGUAGCGGUGAAAUGCGUAGAGAUGUGGAGGAAUACCGGUGGCGAAGGCGGCCCCUGGACAAAGGCUGACGCUCAUGUGCGAAAGCGUGGGGAGCAAACAGGGAUUAGAUACC
RNAcentral lists this ribosomal RNA (453 nucleotides) under uncultured bacterium. RNAcentral's name for it is "bacterial SSU rRNA". It matches the Rfam family "Bacterial small subunit ribosomal RNA", at positions 340 to 786 of the family's 1533-position model. The record is from RNAcentral.